GUCAUGCUCGCUUCAGCAGGACAUAUACUAAAAUUGAAACAACACAGAGAUUAGCAUGGCCCCUGCGCAAGAAUGAGAGGAAUGUCACUUACUAAUCCUAAAAACAUUU
Molecule: small nuclear RNA, 109 nt
Organism: Phodopus roborovskii (desert hamster)
Lineage: Eukaryota; Metazoa; Chordata; Mammalia; Rodentia; Cricetidae
Source: RefSeq, a predicted model, not a curated record